UACGGGGGGGCAAGCGUUGUUCGGAAUUACUGGGCGUAAAGGGCUCGUAGGCGGCCAACUAAGUCGGAUGUGAAAUCCCCAGGCUUAACCUGGGAACUGCAUCCGAUACUGGAUGGCUUGAAUCCGGGAGAGGGAUGCAGAAUUCCAGGUGUAGCGGUGAAAUGCGUAGAUAUCUGGAGGAAUACCGGUGGCGAAGGCGGCAUCCUGGACCGGCAUUGACGCUGAGUGAGCGAAAGCCAGGGGAGCAAAGCGGG
RNAcentral lists this ribosomal RNA (254 nucleotides) under uncultured bacterium. RNAcentral's name for it is "partial 16S ribosomal RNA". It matches the Rfam family "Bacterial small subunit ribosomal RNA", at positions 524 to 777 of the family's 1533-position model. The record is from RNAcentral.